This 460-nucleotide ribosomal RNA is filed under the name uncultured bacterium. Its description in RNAcentral is "partial 16S ribosomal RNA". It matches the Rfam family "Bacterial small subunit ribosomal RNA", at positions 338 to 795 of the family's 1533-position model. The record is from RNAcentral.
CCUACGGGGCGCAGCAGUGAGGAAUAUUGGUCAAUGGACGAGAGUCUGAACCAGCCAAGUAGCGUGAAGGAUGACUGCCCUAUGGGUUGUAAACUUCUUUUAUAUGGGAAUAAAAUGUUCCACGUGUGGGAUUUUGUAUGUACCAUAUGAAUAAGGAUCGGCUAACUCCGUGCCAGCAGCCGCGGUAAUACGGAGGAUCCGAGCGUUAUCCGGAUUUAUUGGGUUUAAAGGGAGCGUAGGUGGAUUGUUAAGUCAGUUGUGAAAGUUUGCGGCUCAACCGUAAAAUUGCAGUUGAAACUGGCAGUCUUGAGUACAGUAGAGGUGGGCGGAAUUCGUGGUGUAGCGGUGAAAUGCUUAGAUAUCACGAAGAACUCCGAUUGCGAAGGCAGUUCACUGGACCGCAACUGACACUGAGGCUCGAAAGUGUGGGUAUCAAACAGGAUUAGAUACCCGAGUAGUC